UAAGUAUAGAACAGUGGGCAGUGGCUGAAAGUGAACAUGCUCACUUUUAAAUCAGAGCUCUCUGGAAAAUCAGCUGGCAAGACAUGGGCCCAAUAAGAGCAGAACUGAUGGAGCACAAUGGAAGAAAUGCGGACAGCAUUCCCAAUGAGUUCAUUAGGAGCUUUGUCUGUGUAAGUAAGUAUUGCAGGGUUAGGUGCAUUAAUAUUAAAAGACUGAGCUGGAAGAAUCAAAUCACCACAAAGGGACUCUCCUAUUCACUACUCACCACAGAAGAAUAGUCUCAGGGUCUGAAAUAAAUGUCUAGUGAAGAAUUAGUUUACAGCAGAAAACUGAAUCAGAUUCAAGAGGAAUUAUGAUGUCAGAGGGAAAGGAACCAGCUAGCUAAGCUCCAGCAGAGGUCAGAGUGUACAGCUGUGGUGGGGGAGCCAAUGACAGCCCAGGCAUCAGCCACUCUUUCAGGGAUCCUGGAAUCUGGACCAAGGGACUUUUCUGUAUGGCUGAUUGGAGACCUACAUGGCUGAAGCCAGACUUUCCUGUGAAUCCCCAAUCUUACACUGGCACCACAUAUGACUCCCUGCACUUCUCUCGUGUAAGUCUGCAGCUGAAAGGAGGAUGCAGAGAAGAGAAACCACCCUCAACCUGGAAAAGGGCAUUGCCCAUAUUCAGCUGGAUCUCCCUGUCUGGACGGUUUAGCGCACAGAUGAGAUGGCAAAAGCCUUCAUGUAUCUCCUUUUCCUGAGUCUUGUUCAGGUCAAAGGGGAAAAACAUAUUUACAAUCCUUAGGCGGCAGGCACCAGAACUGAGAGCAGGACAAUUCCUGGGCUGUCAAUAUUCCUCCUGCUGGAAUCCAGACAGCAUGCAGAAAAAGGAGGAUGGCGCAGAUGUAGAAGGGUGAGGAAAGGAGUGUGGGAGCCUUUCAUGCUUUGUCAAGAUAGUGGAUAAUUGUAAUUUUAAUUAACAGGUCUUCAAAAUUAUAAUGUGCUAGAAAACACAGAUACAGUUCCCCACACAGAGUUCAUUAGAUUUUUAGUACCAAUCAUUUCUUCGUACAAUUUCCUAAAAUGCAUUAAAAACAGAAUGUGCACUAACUGGUCAUGUUGACAACAAUCUCUCUUUAAGAGGCAAAACCAAAUGGCUUCCCAUUAAAUUUAGUUCCCAUUUCAGCCAGACUUCCUCUGUCAGAGAAUUCAGUUCUGUUCAUCCCCUGAUGACUGCCUCUGUCAGAUUUACUAUACAGAACUGACUGUUUUCUAUAUUUGCUACAAAUUCACCCAUAAACUAAACUGCAUAUAACAUGAAUUCAAAAUGUCAGGAAAAAUUAAUACCGUACUUACAGUCAUUCAAAAGGAUCCUGUCAUGCCCAGCUGAUCUGCACUUCUCGUUGCUGUAUUAUUUACUACUAAACAGUAUUAAACGGAGUGUCUUAUAGUAAAUACGAUUCUGAUCAAAUAAAAAAUAUCAGAAAGAAUAUAGAGUAAACAAUAAGGCAGUUUGUUUUUCUGAACACCUACAGCCAGAUGCCCACUCUCCAGUACAGAAUGGAGCCAAUGCUAAGGGAAGGAAGGGAUCUGGGCAUCAUAUAGAUGGGAGCAGUGACUAAGCCACUUGCUGUUCCCCAGCUUUUCGGUUUGUUUAUGCAUAAUUAGAGCUUCACUGAAACGAGGAACCCAUGCCCACAAGCAGCUGCCCGAACACUAUGGUUCCCUGGGACAGGCACUAAAUUUCAUUUCCAAAAAGCCACACAGGUUACUAUUGCUCAGAUGAGCGUUAUUUUCCAGAAGAUAGGAUUGGUAGGGUCCGCGUUGGGAGAGAGGGAGCCAAUAGCAUGGGAAUCUGCCAUGCUGAUGAGAGGAAACUGUUCCCUGGAAUCGAUAAAGAGAGGCUUCUUCACCCAUCUGAUUGGAGAGCCACAUUACUGGGGCUCGCCGUCCAUCUGGCACUGCAAUCCUCGUCCCCAUUGUCUCAUCUCUAGAUAUCAAUAUCGCCCCCAAAGAGGAGUCGAUGGAGAUGCACCACACUGAACCCUGUUCCACAAGAACGAUUUGCCCUUCUCACAUGUUUUUACAUAGGAGAGUGUGAUCGAGACCCUAAAUUCCUGUUUAUGCAUGCCCUGCAUGUGAUCUUGUCCAUGUUAGACAUGACAGUCAAGCUCUUAAUGUGAUUUGAACUGGGAUUUUAACAAUUUCCUUUACACCAAAACUCUAACACUGGGCCUUCUGAUUAUAUAAAAUACUACAACCUGCAGCACCACUCCAAGUAGUCAGGAACCACCACAGAUAAAAAUGUAAGCUUCAGUCCUGCAAGGAGUUACACAUCUACUGAAUUUUAAGCAUGUGAGUAAUAAUGAAUAUUCAUGUGCUUAAAGAUAAACCUGUUUUUCGGUCUUUGCUAGAUCAGGCCAUAAGCCAAUAAGUAAUAAAAAUAAAAAUAUUCAAAAGAAUGACACUUCAAAGAAAUGGAAAUAUUUCAUGGAGACAUGUCAAUUUGUUAGAAGUUGUAUAUGUUUCAAUUAAAAGUUUUUAAAUUUUUCUAAUAUUUUUUUACUCGCAUCUCAUUUUUUUUGGUAAUUUUUUUGCCAACUUUUUUUCCAGUGUGUGAGGGGAUGGGGAGGGGGAGCAGAAAAGUGAGAGAAAGUGAGAUUUUUCUCCAGAAAAUUGAAAUUAAGUUUUGUGUAUUCUUUUGAAAAAAUUCUUUUAGAAAAUUAUCACACAUACACACACAAAUUCAUAAAAAAGUGAAUGAAACAAGAAAAGUAUUAGAGUAUAAUUAACUCCUAUAGCUAGUUCAUUAUAGUCUAAGUACCCAGGCAGAGAUGCACCAAUACUGCCAGGAAGAGCAAUCAUUCCAGCAAUCUGAACAGAAUAAAUCACAGGUCAAGGAAGAUGCAGUUAGCUUUAGGGUUCGUAUGCAUAGGGCUCCCCAUCCUAAGGUUGGGGAGUCCUAUGAGUACUUGGAGCAAGGGUUAGGGUUCCUAUGGGCAGGGACCCUUGUGCUAAGGUUAGGGUUCCUUUGAUUAGGGUACUUGGAGUUAGGGUUCCUCUGGAUAGGGCUCCCCAUCCUGGGGUAAGAGUUCCUAUAGUUAGGGUACUUGGAGCUAUAGUUAGGGAGUGUAGGGGUAGGAUGCUUGUAGCUAGGCUUAGGUUCUUAUAGGUAGGCUUCCCUGCAAUAGGAUUAUGAUUCAGAGUUAGGAUUCUUAGGGGUAGGGGACUUGGAGCUAGGGUUAGGGUUCCUAUGGUGUCAUAACUAUAAAGGGAAGGGUAACAGCCCUCCUGUGUACAA
This is a non-coding RNA of Chrysemys picta bellii (western painted turtle), 3279 nucleotides long. The record is from RefSeq and is a predicted model, not a curated record. NCBI's taxonomy places the organism in Eukaryota, Metazoa, Chordata, Testudines, Emydidae.